CAUCUUUCUGCUGCCUGUCCUUUUGCCACACGCUCCUUCUCACUCACCCAUUGGCCUAGAGAUGCCUCUCUGCCUCCUCUCCAGGGCCUUACUUCCCUCAACUACCUGAAGGCCGCCACGUCUUCACAUUUGUGUGCCUCUGUUCUCCAUGGGCCUUACUUCCCUCAACUACCUGAAGGCCGCCACGUCUUCACAUUUGUGUGCCUCUGUUCUCCAUGGGCUCUGUUCUCUAGCUGUGCCCGCUCUCUGCUCAAACUCUUUCUGGCCCUGUCCCAGCCUCACUUCUGUACCCUUUCUUGGCCACUGGCUGGAUUUUUCCCAGGCCCUCAGUUUCACAUUCAGGACAACUUUUCCUUCAUCUUUGUCCUGCCAGCCUUCUUCUUUUCUCUUCCCUUCCCAUCAAACAAGCGGGCAGGAACCCUGCAGCCACUCUCACACUCCUGCUCUUCUUUCUCUCCUCUGCCACUUGUGUUUCCUCCAAACAUGCCCAGUAGUUGAAACAAGCCUACCUGUGGAACUACCAGCCUUCCACCAUGCAUUGUGUCAACUCAGUCUCCAUGUCGUUCUGUAUUAUCGCUGCACUACUUGCUGA
RNAcentral lists this long non-coding RNA (592 nucleotides) under Cavia porcellus (domestic guinea pig). RNAcentral describes it as "lncRNA (ENSCPOG00000032348.1)". Lineage: Eukaryota; Metazoa; Chordata; Mammalia; Rodentia; Caviidae. The record is from RNAcentral.